AGGAGCAGACCUGUGUCUUUGAGACGGACAUGUUGGCCCACAUGCCGUCCAGUGAUCCUGGCCACUGCCACCGGCUGCGCCUGGCGGGGUCCCUGACCACUGGGAUUUAUGUUGCCGUCCAGCAGUCUGUUCGCUUCACGGUGCUUCAGCUGGUCGCUGCCGCAGCAACCGCUACACCGUGAAGCACAUCUCCUCCCUCUUCACCACGCAGGAAACUCUGGAUUUCACCCUGACGCCGAACACCAUCAGGGGCGUCUGGAUGGACGACUACAAUUGGUUUGGUAUUAGACAAAUCAACUUUGAGGAGUGAGUCUCACAGUUUGUCAUCAUUAAGGCUCUGACACACCAACCCGCCGGCUGACCGUCGACAGAAAAGGCAGUCGGACUGAUUAGUCAGCUCCUGUCUCCCCGAGUGGUUCAUAAAGUACCUCGGAACACACCCAAGUGACGCAGACUUGAGCGUACGUUCCGCGCAAGACGUAACACGUCCCCAUAUCAGCAGGCGCCAUUAAUCUGUUUUGUUGGAGAUGAUGAACAUCUCUCUAGACCUAGUAAACACGGAGCACGCUCGUCAGUCAUUGUUUUCAUCAGAGUGCUGAUAGUAGUCAAGAAGGAUCAUUGUCAUUACUCGCUGAACGGAAGGGAAUACGAUGGCUAUUAA
Molecule: long non-coding RNA, 661 nt
Organism: Etheostoma spectabile (orangethroat darter)
Lineage: Eukaryota; Metazoa; Chordata; Actinopteri; Perciformes; Percidae
Exons: 2
Source: RefSeq, a predicted model, not a curated record